UGGACCUGUUUAGAUAUUAUGCACACUUCAAUUUGUGUUUAUUUAUUGCAAGUCACAUCAGCAUUGCAUGAUGGCAACAUUAAACAACAUUAUCGCACAUAGCAGAUUUUCCGCAUAUCGUGUAGGCCUAAUCUGUACCAGUGGUUAAGUGCUUUAACAUCUCUCCUUGCUGCAGUGAUGUAGAAGAGUGCUCCGGGGUUUGUCAGGACGGCGUGACAUCACUGCUGGGUGUGGUCAGAGGUGAAACAGGCUCGAAACUUUCAAUCAGAGAGGGCAGUGAAACACUUUUUCGCCUGGUGUUAAUGUCUUAAAUGGGUCAGAUUUCACCGAUCAGAGCAACUUUUUGGCCAAACAAAUGAAAAAGAUAAUCUUGUAACCACCAUGCCGCUCACAGGUAAACUGAGCAUGGAGCCUACUUCACAAGAUGGCGCCCUCAUCCCAACAUGCAACAUGGCGUGACGUGCCUUCACAAUACCUAUACAUGCUGUCACAACAUCUCCU
Micropterus dolomieu (smallmouth bass) is the source of this 501-nucleotide long non-coding RNA. RefSeq lists it as uncharacterized. Lineage: Eukaryota; Metazoa; Chordata; Actinopteri; Centrarchiformes; Centrarchidae. The transcript has 3 exons. The record is from RefSeq and is a predicted model, not a curated record.